Molecule: ribosomal RNA, 660 nt
Filed under: uncultured bacterium
Lineage: Bacteria
Description: bacterial SSU rRNA
Rfam family: Bacterial small subunit ribosomal RNA
Source: RNAcentral
AUGCAGUCGAACGAUUAAAGCUCCCUUCGGGGAGUGCAUAGUAGUGGCGCACGNCCCUUNNANAACACGUUAAGUAAUCUACCUUCGGAUGGGGAAUAACAGUUCGGAAACGACUGCUAAUACCGCAUAAUGCAGCGGCACCUAAUGGUGACAGUUGUUAAAGUAUUUAUACGUCUGAAGAGGAGCUUGCGGCAGAUUAGCUAGUUGGUAAGGUAAUGGCUUACCAAGGCUACGAUCUGUAGCCGACCUGAGAGGGUGGUCGGUCACACUGACACUGAAUAACGGGUCAGACUCCUACGGGAGGCAGCAGUCGGGAAUUUUGGGCAAUGGGCGAAAGCCUGACCCAGCAACGCCGCGUGAAGGAUGAAGUCUUUCGGGAUGUAAACUUCGUAAGAAUAGGAAGAAUAAAUGACGGUACUAUUUGUAAGGUCCGGCUAACUACGUGCCAGCAGCCGCGGUAAUACGUAGGGACCAAGCGUUGUUCGGAUUUACUGGGCGUAAAGGGCGCGUAGGCUGCGUGUCAAGUCAANUGUGAAAUCUCCGAGCUUAACUCGNAACGGUCAAUUGAUACUGAUGUGCUAGAGUGUANAAGGGGCAAUCCNGAAAUCUUGGUGUAGCCNGUGNAAAUGCGUAGAUAUCAUUGAGGGAACACCUUGAGGU